UAAUACAUGCAAGUCGUACGCACUGGCCCAACUGAUUGAUGGUGCUUGCACCUGAUUGACGAUGGAUCACCAGUGAGUGGCGGACGGGUGAGUAACACGUAGGUAACCUGCCCCGGAGCGGGGGAUAACAUUUGGAAAACAGAUGCUAAUACCGCAUAACAACAAAAGCCACAUGGCUUUUGUUUGAAAGAUGGCUUUGGCUAUCACUCUGGGAUGGACCUGCGGUGCAUUAGCUAGUUGGUAAGGUAACGGCUUACCAAGGCGAUGAUGCAUAGCCGAGUUGAGAGACUGAUCGGCCACAAUGGAACUGAGACACGGUCCAUACUCCUACGGGAGGCAGCAGUAGGGAAUCUUCCACAAUGGGCGCAAGCCUGAUGGAGCAACACCGCGUGAGUGAAGAAGGGUUUCGGCUCGUAAAGCUCUGUUGUUGGAGAAGAACGUGCGUGAGAGUAACUGUUCACGCAGUGACGGUAUCCAACCAGAAAGUCACGGCUAACUACGUGCCAGCAGCCGCGGUAAUAC
This 522-nucleotide ribosomal RNA is filed under the name Limosilactobacillus reuteri. RNAcentral describes it as "bacterial SSU rRNA". It matches the Rfam family "Bacterial small subunit ribosomal RNA", at positions 49 to 526 of the family's 1533-position model. Lineage: Bacteria; Bacillati; Bacillota; Bacilli; Lactobacillales; Lactobacillaceae. The record is from RNAcentral.